Molecule: long non-coding RNA, 923 nt
Filed under: Lepisosteus oculatus (spotted gar)
Lineage: Eukaryota; Metazoa; Chordata; Actinopteri; Semionotiformes; Lepisosteidae
Description: lncRNA (ENSLOCG00000022333.1)
Source: RNAcentral
CAAAAAGCCCAGAUAUGCAGAAUUAGGCUUUGUAUUUAAAAAAGGCUUUAGUAAGCAUCCUCUUCACACCCCAGAUAACCCUAAAAUGCAUGACUUCAGGAGUACCCACUUAUAGCAGAUAUUUGCCAAAAUAGACUAAACGACAGUAUUGGAGUUUCUGAUUAUAUAUUGCUUGUAAGGAGUGUGUCAAACGUGCAUGCUACACAUUGUGCCUAGAGAGAUUGAUGUUUUGUCAUCCACCUGCUUCAAAGCUGUAAAACCUGCAGCUGCAAAAGAAAACCUACCCAGCUACAAAAUCUAAACAAAGAAAUGUUAGUGGGAUGUUUACAUUUCUGUGGAGGAAUAUCUCAGAUUCAAUGAUGUGAUGGAAAAAUGGUUUUAGGAUUACAGAGCCUGCGAAAGGAAGAUGCUUCAGAAGAAAAACAAAAAAAAGGAAAUGUGCACUCAACGUUAAGAGAACAGAAGACUAAAACCGACAAAUUCCCCAAGAAAUGAAAGACCUGCAGAGCAACAAGAACCUGUUACACCUUUCACCUUGGUUCCAUGGCCUGGUUGCUUGUGAAGAAGUCCAAGCCCAAAACAUGGACCCGCAUCUAUGGUUUCGACUUUCUUGCUUGGACCUCUGGAAAGAUGUCUGUGAUAUGAAGACAAAAAAUAAGUCUGCCUGGCCCAAAGUAUUGCCGGGUAUCCAACCAGACCAACUAAUCACUUUUUAACACCUCUCCAGAUAAGAUGGAGAAAUGUUUUAAUUAAACUAUAUUCAAGGAAAUAAACAACAUACAAAACCAGCAGAAGAAUCAUGUCCAGGUAGAAGGAGAAUGGGGUCCGUUGGAUGUGGAAAGCAGCUUUCCAGGUGUUUACCAAAGGUCCGUAUUUCCAGGAAAUUACAAAAUAUCUCUCCUCAAUACUGAAACUAGAAAUUC